RNAcentral lists this ribosomal RNA (200 nucleotides) under uncultured bacterium. RNAcentral describes it as "partial 16S ribosomal RNA". It matches the Rfam family "Bacterial small subunit ribosomal RNA", at positions 29 to 224 of the family's 1533-position model. The record is from RNAcentral.
AGUGAACGCUGGCGGCAGGCCUAACACAUGCAAGUCGAACGGCAGCACAGAGGAGCUUGCUCCUUGGGUGGCGAGUGGCGGACGGGUGAGGAAUGCAUCGGAAUCUGCCUAUUUGUGGGGGAUAACGUAGGGAAACUUACGCUAAUACCGCAUACGACCUACGGGUGAAAGUGGGGGACCUUCGGGCCUCACGCAGAUAG